UGAAGAAGACUCCUCGGUUAAUACCCGUGGACGAUGACAUUAGCUGCAGAAUAAGCACCGGCUAACUCUGUGCCAGCAGCCGCGGUAAUACAGAGGGUGCAAGCGUUAAUCGGAAUUACUGGGCGUAAAGCGAGCGUAGGUGGCUUGAUAAGUCAGAUGUGAAAUCCCCGGGCUUAACCUGGGAACUGCAUCUGAAACUGUUAGGCUAGAGUAGGUGAGAGGAAGGUAGAAUUCCAGGUGUAGCGGUGAAAUGCGUAGAGAUCUGGAGGAAUACCGAUGGCGAAGGCAGCCUUCUGGCAUCAUACUGACACUGAGGCUCGAAAGCGUGGGUAGCAAACAGGAUUAGAUACCCUGGUAGUCCACGCCGUAAACGAUGUCUACUAGUCGCUGGGUCCCUUGAGGACUUAGUGACGCAGCUAACGCAAUAAGUAGACCGCCUGGGGAGUACGGCCGCAAGGUUAAAACUCAAAUGAAUUGACGGGGGCCCGCACAAGCGGUGGAGCAUGUGGUUUAAUUCGAUGCAACGCGAAGAACCUUACCUGGUCUUGACAUAUCUAGAAUCCUGCAGAGAUGCGGGAGUGCCUUCGGGAAUUAGAAUACAGGUGCUGCAUGGCUGUCGUCAGCUCGUGUCGUGAGAUGUUGGGUUAAGUCCCGCAACGAGCGCAACCCUUGUCCUUAGUUACCAGCGGGUUAAGCCGGGAACUCUAAGGAUACUGCCAGUGACGAACUGGAGGAAGGCGGGGACGACGUCAAGUCAUCAUGGCCCUUACGACCAGGGCUACACACGUGCUACAAUGGUAGGUACAGAGGGCAGCUACACAGCGAUGUGAUGCGAAUCUCAAAAAGCCUAUCGUAGUCCAGAUUGGAGUCUGCAACUCGACUCCAUGAAGUAGGAAUCGCUAGUAAUCGCGGAUCAGAAUGCCGCGGUGAAUACGUUCCCGGGCCUUGCACACACCGCCCGU
This 962-nucleotide ribosomal RNA is filed under the name uncultured bacterium. RNAcentral's name for it is "bacterial SSU rRNA". It matches the Rfam family "Bacterial small subunit ribosomal RNA", at positions 443 to 1397 of the family's 1533-position model. The record is from RNAcentral.